RNAcentral lists this ribosomal RNA (454 nucleotides) under uncultured bacterium. RNAcentral describes it as "bacterial SSU rRNA". It matches the Rfam family "Bacterial small subunit ribosomal RNA", at positions 340 to 786 of the family's 1533-position model. The record is from RNAcentral.
UACGGAAGGCAGCAGUGGGGAAUAUUGCACAAUGGGCGCAAGCCUGAUGCAGCCAUGCCGCGUGUAUGAAGAAGGCCUUCGGGUUGUAAAGUACUUUCAGCGGGGAGGAAGGCGAUGUGGUUAAUAACCGCGUCGAUUGACGUUACCCGCAGAAGAAGCACCGGCUAACUCCGUGCCAGCAGCCGCGGUAAUACGGAGGGUGCAAGCGUUAAUCGGAAUUACUGGGCGUAAAGCGCACGCAGGCGGUCUGUUAAGUCAGAUGUGAAAUCCCCGGGCUUAACCUGGGAACUGCAUUUUGAAACUGGCAGGCUUGAGUCUCGUAGAGGGGGUAGAAGUUCCAGGUGUAGCGGUGAAAUGCGUAGAGAUCUGGAGGAAUACCGGUGGCGAAGGCGGCCCCUGGGACGAGACUGACGCUCAGGUGCGAAAGCUGGGGAGCAAACAGGAUUAGGAUACC